GACCUUGCGCUCUUUGAGCGGCCGAUGUCAGAUUAGCUAGUUGGUGAGGUAACGGCUUACCAAGGCGACGAUCUGUAGCGGGUCUGAGAGGAUGAUCCGCCACACUGGAACUGAGACACGGUCCAGACUCCUACGGGAGGCAGCAGUGGGGAAUUUUGGACAAUGGGGCAACCCUGAUCCAGCCAUGCCGCGUGAGUGAAGAAGGCCUUCGGGUUGUAAAGCUCUUUCGGCCGGGAAGAAAUCGCAUGGGUUAAUACCCUGUGUGGAUGACGGUACCGGCAUAAGAAGCACCGGCUAACUACGUG
RNAcentral lists this ribosomal RNA (305 nucleotides) under uncultured bacterium. RNAcentral describes it as "bacterial SSU rRNA". It matches the Rfam family "Bacterial small subunit ribosomal RNA", at positions 209 to 507 of the family's 1533-position model. The record is from RNAcentral.